Molecule: ribosomal RNA, 217 nt
Filed under: Coprinopsis cinerea
Lineage: Eukaryota; Fungi; Basidiomycota; Agaricomycetes; Agaricales; Psathyrellaceae
Description: 5.8S ribosomal RNA
Rfam family: 5.8S ribosomal RNA (bases 1-134)
About the family: 5.8S ribosomal RNA (5.8S rRNA) is a component of the large subunit of the eukaryotic ribosome. It is transcribed by RNA polymerase I as part of the 45S precursor that also contains 18S and 28S rRNA. Functionally, it is thought that 5.8S rRNA may be involved in ribosome translocation.
Source: RNAcentral
UUGGCUCUCGCAUCGAUGAAGAACGCAGCGAAAUGCGAUAAGUAAUGUGAAUUGCAGAAUUCAGUGAAUCAUCGAAUCUUUGAACGCACCUUGCGCUCCUUGGUAUUCCGAGGAGCAUGCCUGUUUGAGUGUCAUUAAAUUCUCAACCUCACCAACUUUGUUGUGUGCAGGCUUGGAUGUGGGGGUUGCAGGUCCACUCUCGUGGUCUGCUCCUCUG